GACGAACGCUGGCGGCGCGCCUAACACAUGCAAGUCGAACGGAGUCAAGAGGAUCUUGCUUUUCUUGACUUAUUGGCGAACGGGUGAGUAACGCGUGAGUAACCUGCCCUGGAGUGGGGGACAACAGUUGGAAACGACUGCUAAUACCGCAUAAGCGCACGGAUCUGCAUGGAGCUGCGGGAAAAGGAUUUAUUCGCUCUAGGAUGGACUCGCGUCCAAUUAGCUAGUUGGUGAGGUAACGGCCCACCAAGGCGACUAUUGGUAGCCGGACUGAGAGGUUGAACGGCCACAUUGGGACUGAGACACGGCACAGACUCCUACGGGAGGAAGCAGUGGGGGAUAUUGCAGCAUGGGGGAAACCCUGAUGCAGCGACGCCGCGUGGAGGAAGCAGGUUUUCGAAUCGUAAACUCCUGUCGUUAGGGACGAUAAUGACGGUACCUAACAAGAAAGCACCGGCUAACUACGUG
This 468-nucleotide ribosomal RNA is filed under the name uncultured bacterium. Its description in RNAcentral is "partial 16S ribosomal RNA". It matches the Rfam family "Bacterial small subunit ribosomal RNA", at positions 28 to 507 of the family's 1533-position model. The record is from RNAcentral.